AGGCUUGUCCGGGUGCGUCUCGAUCGUCCGGUCGCUCCUCCUUUCUUAAGUGGCGUCCGCUGGUCGGACCAUAUCUCGGGCAAUGUAGGGAGGGUUCCUGUGCUCUAUCAGGAUAGGUUCUUUGCAGGCUCCCUGCUUCUCGCAGCGAACUGCAUUGGUCCGUCCCUUUCAUUUGAUCGCUCGCCUCGAUUCCCCUAGGGUCGGUCGCGAGUGAUGGGUGGGUUCCUGUGCUUGAUACCGGAUUUCGGUACUCGGAUUCAAUGUUGUCCACGUCUUGGUUUCCCUUGUUCCUCCUCCGCCUCCUGUGCGUUGGUGGUUGUCGCGCGGGCAUCGAUGCUUUCCGUCCGGGCGGUCGUCCACCUCUGGGCGCUUCCGCUCGAGUCGGCGCGUCGAUGCCGUCCGCGUGCUCUUGGGUACGGAGAUAUCUCUUGUUAUCGCGCGGCCCUCUUUCGGCCGUUGCGAUCACGACGUGUCGAAGCUUCUUUGCUUCCGCUCGGGUGACACUCGUGCUUUCCUUGGCCCUCACGGAGACUCUCCUCUCCGCGUUCGUCCUCGGGAGGCAUCGAGGUGUACCAGUA
Molecule: unclassified non-coding RNA, 578 nt
Filed under: Chaetogastra riograndensis
Lineage: Eukaryota; Viridiplantae; Streptophyta; Magnoliopsida; Myrtales; Melastomataceae
Description: partial may contain 26S ribosomal RNA, external transcribed spacer, 18S ribosomal RNA
Source: RNAcentral